RNAcentral lists this ribosomal RNA (440 nucleotides) under uncultured bacterium. RNAcentral's name for it is "partial 16S ribosomal RNA". It matches the Rfam family "Bacterial small subunit ribosomal RNA", at positions 338 to 795 of the family's 1533-position model. The record is from RNAcentral.
CCUACGGGCGACAGCAGUGGGGAAUAUUGCACAAUGGGGGGAACCCUGAUGCAGCGAAGCCGCGUGGGUGAAGAAGGGCCUCGGCGCGUAAAGCCCUGUCAACAUGGGAGACAAUUGCUGUACCUGAAGAAGCAGCCACGGCUCACUACGUGCCGGCAGCCGCGGUAAUACGUAGGUGGCCAGCGUUAUCCGGAUUUACUGUGUGUUAAGGGAGCUCAGACGGCGUUGCCAGCCCGGAGUGAACGCCCGGGGCCCAACCCCGGGACUGCUCUUGGAACUGCGUGGCUGGAGUGCAGGAGGGGCAGGUGGAAGUCCUGGUGUAGCGGUGAAAUGCGUAGAUAUCAGGAGGAACACCGGUGGCGAAGGCGGUGUGCCGGACCGCAACUGACGCUGAGGCCCGAAAGCGCGGGGAGCAAACAGGAUUAGAUACCCUAGUAGUC